GCUCCUUGGUGGGCCAGGCCUUUGAGGUUGCAGGCUUCCUGAGCUGAGCAAGUCAGCUUACUCAGAGGGGAUUGGGGUCUGGUGCCUGCUGCAGUUUCAGGGAUAAAGAGGCCAGCACUCCUGCCCUCCUGAGCCUCUCUCCCUUUGCUUCCCGUGGAUCUCUUGUUCUUCCAACAGCCAGCUGAGACAGGUCUGGUGGAUGGGCAAGAUGACACAAUGACAUAGCAUGUGUCACACUGCUUACCUAUAGAUGGUCACUGGAAGGAAGAUCAGAGGCCCACCCUGACCUAUUACUCUACUCUUCAGAUGUGGGGGGGGGGGGACGGAGGUGGGGGGAAUCCAGCAAGAAUUGAUGGCUUAAUUUCUGUAUUCAAGGUCCCAGUUGGUAUCUAAGAUCGCCAGGGAGUGACAGCCAUCCCCACCUGUGGCCCUUCUGUUUUAUGCAUUCUAGAAUGUUUAAACAGCUGAACAGAGAGGGCUGAUCAAGGCCAUGCUCGGCCCCUCCCACGUGUGUGUCUGUGCCCUUUGAAGGGGGACAGGAUAUGAAGGCCUCACCCUUUAAGGGUACCUAAGUUCUGUCAGCUCUGCCCUACAUUGCUCCCUAGUCCCAGGCCACCACUUCUCCUCUCUAGGACAUGAUGUUCUUAUCUACCCAACAACUGAUACAUGCUCUUGGGGCUGAGAAGAUGGCUUCUCAGAGAGCUUGCUGCUAUUGCAUGAGGACCUAGCUCAGAUCCCUAGAAGCCAUAUAAAAGCCAGCAUGUGUCUGUAUCUCCAAUCCCAAGAGGAGAGAUCAAGAGAGAUUUCUGGCCAGAGGAAGACACCGCUGGCAUCUAUAUGUGCACUCACAGGCAUGAAUGAGUCCAGUCUUUGAAGAACUGGGAAGAUGGCUUUAGGAUGUGUCCAUUAAGUAUCUGAAACACAGAAACACCCGAGAGCUGCCCCUUCCCUUCCCAGAGAUCCAUGAAGAGCUGAACCUAGAAUACUGAUGCCACUGUUUGUCCCCUAAGAUCGAUUAGCAUCUGGAUGGACAGGAACCAAGACAACCACCUUAGUUCAGGUUUCAGUUGCUGUAACAAAACAGCAGAGGCCAAGGACUUUACACACAAGGGUGACUAAAAGUCCAAGACUAAACAACCCCAUGUGUUUGGACUCUGGUAAGGAUCUCCCAUCUACUUCUCAACAUGGCGAAUGACAUCAUGAUGGAUGUGCAGAUGAGGAAAGAGAGGUCACAUGAUGAAACUGGAAACAAGAGAGUAUGUGGAAGGUCACAUCCAGUCUUUUACAGCAACCUCGUAUCUCAAAAGGCUACCCUGGAACUCAGAGAUCUGCUUGCCUGGGAUUAAACACAUGAACCACCCUGCCUGGGACGAAGCUUUGCAUGGCCACUAUUCCUCAAGAUCCUCAUCAAAAGCCUGUGUCUUCCAGCCUCGAGAUCUGGAUCCAUAGUUGUGCCCUCCAUUUCUGGAUUUUAGUUCAUUCCAGAUUAAAAGUCCAAAUGAAAACAAUAACCAGGUAAUAGUAACACCUAUGUAUAACCCUACCCAAGGACAUUUGACUGGGGUGGAGAUGAGAGCAGAGCGAGUGGGAUCUCUGUAAGAGAAACUGUGUCCCUGCAAUCCACACUAAAGUCAGAGCAGUGGAACUCAUGCUUCCCCAGCCCUCAUCCCACAACCAGUCCUGAUCCCAUCUGGCCACAGAACUCUUCAAAUGUCCCCAAGAAAGCCCAGAGAAGCCACAGUCUGAACUUUGUGUGUUCACUCUGCUAUCUUAUCUGUGUCACUUAGCACCUUCUAGAAAAUAAGGGUCUGUUGGGGCUUGGGGUUUGUGUACAACGAUGAGUUGUCAUGAAUGUUGUUUAUAGGAACAUGGGCAGCUUGCCAGUGAAGAAAACGUCCCUUCUUCUCACAACAACCAUUAACUUCUGAGAGAUCUUCAGGGAUGGGGGGCUUUGCGGGGUGGAAAGCUGAUGGACCCAGCCUUCUGCAGGUCUUCUGCAGAUAAUCAUAGAUGCUGGGGAUCCAAGAUUACGACAGUGAUAUCAUGUCCUGAUGUUGAACUCCAUGGCACUCUACCGCUCCCUUAGGCCCUUACAUUCCUCCCAUUUCUUCACUAGUAUACCCCGAGCCUGGAAGAGGUCACUAUAAAUGUCCCCUUUAGGGUUGAGCAUUCAUCAGUUAUAAGCCUGCAGCAACCACGGCCUGCUUUAUAAAGCAUCUUCUCAGACCAAGGGGACACUCCCACAGAAACGAUGGUUCCAGCCAGAGGUGCUGAGAACCCACCCGGAACCUGCUUCUCAACAGCCGGCUUCAACAUAAGCCACACUCCCCAUUAAGCCCUGCUUUGAGAGAGGAAGCAUCAUAACUGAACACAACUCACAUGGCCUGUCAUAGUAUGUCUGCCAUGGACCAUGACACGGAAUUCAACUAGUGUGGACACUGAGGGACUCCUUGAGGAAGCAUCAUCUCUACAGUGACCUAGAGGAUGAACAGGUGUGACAUAAAGUGACAUGAAUUAGAUCUAAAGCCAAAUGACACUGAUGUUUGUGUGUGAAAAUCCCAUAAUGAACCCCAUUACUAUGUAUGGUAGCCUUAAAAAAACAAAGCAAAAACAAUACAUUAAAGAGAAAGAGAUUGGGGG
This is a long non-coding RNA of Mus musculus (house mouse), 2640 nucleotides long. RefSeq annotates it as predicted gene, 33388. NCBI's taxonomy places the organism in Eukaryota, Metazoa, Chordata, Mammalia, Rodentia, Muridae. The transcript has 3 exons. The record is from RefSeq and is a predicted model, not a curated record.